RNAcentral lists this ribosomal RNA (775 nucleotides) under uncultured Neocallimastigales. Its description in RNAcentral is "partial large subunit ribosomal RNA". It matches the Rfam family "Eukaryotic large subunit ribosomal RNA", at positions 20 to 616 of the family's 3401-position model. The record is from RNAcentral. Lineage: Eukaryota; Fungi; Neocallimastigomycota; Neocallimastigomycetes; Neocallimastigales.
UACUAGAGUAGCACUCGCAUAUCAAUAAGCGGAGGAAAAGAAACUAACAAGGAUUCCCCUAGUAACGGCGAGUGAAGCGGGAAGAGCUCAAAUUUGAAAUCUUAAAGGGUUUCCCUUUACGAAUUGUAGUUUAAAGAAGUGUUUUCUGUUGAGGUUUUGGUAAAAGUUCUUUGGAAUAGGACAUCAUAGAGGGUGAGAAUCCCGUAUUUGACCUUUACUUUCAACUUUGUGAUACACUUUCAAAGAGUCGGAUUGUUUGGGAAUGCAGUCCAAAGUGGGUGGUAAAUUUCAUCUAAAGCUAAAUAUUGGCGAGAGACCGAUAGCGAACAAGUACCGUGAGGGAAAGAUGAAAAGAACUUUGAAAAGAGAGUUAAACAGUACGUGAAAUUGUCAAAAGGGAAGCGUUUGACACCAGUGUUGUUUUUCUGAAAAUCAAUUAAAGAACUGUUUAUGCUAAGCUGUUUAGACUUUAUCAGCUAAUCUGUUUAGUUUUGAGCUUUUCUUUAAUGCACUUUUCAGUUAACAAGUCAACAUCAAUUUCUUUUGCUGUAAAAAAGCUUGAGGAAGGUGGCUUGAGAUUCGUCUUAAGUGUUUAUAGCCUCUUGCCUAUGCAGUCGGAGAGAUUGAGGUCUGCAGCGUAGAUCCUUCGGGGCUAAAUGCAUUUGUGCUAAGUUAUAGCAUUUUAUAGACAACUUGUUGACUAUGAUUUGUCUUGUAGCUUACUCGCUUAUGUUAUUUUACCUACGCUUAGGAUGUUGAGCGCAUGUCUCUCUCU